CUUGUGGCUUGGAGUAAGCAGGUAGACUAGAAUUGGCUGGCGAAGAUGUGUUUGGCACACUUACAGGCGUUAUGCUACCUCGACUUAAGCUACUGACGUUACUGCUACAAUAAGGAAAACCUUAUAUGAGGUGGUUGGGAUAUGUGAGGGGGUAAUGUAGGACUGGGAGGACUUGGUGCUGUUGGAACUGGCGCAGACGCAGGCACGGGAGGUGGUAUAGGUGCCGGAGCAUCCGUUGCUGGAUUUGAAAUUUGUCCACCCGUGUCAGGAGGAGAACCUCCGGCUCCGUUUGCUGGAGGCAAAACGUGUGGCGAAGAUGAUGGCAAUUCGUCUGAGAAAUCAGCAUUAAUUUUAACAUUACUUACAUCGCUGAGGUGGUCCCUGGAACUGUCUGCGUCCUGGCAAUCCCUAGGUAUACCAGGGCCAUGCAAUUGUUCAGAUGCUCUACCACUAUCGUCACUUGUACCUGCAUCUAGGCCCUGCAAAAUAUAUUAUGUUUGCGAUCAUUCAUCGUAUCGAAUAUACAAGGAUAUCAGUUGGCUCUGCUUGCAUUCAACACGUAUAAAAUUUGAGCAAACCAAGAGUAUAGUGCCUCAACACGUAUGGUGUAAACACUCCACGAUUUUCCCACAAAUUUAUACCGCUAUAAACAUAGACUCUAAUUUCUUUUCUAUCCACUAGGUACGCCGAUGAAUUGUUGGUUCACGUAAGAAGCGCAAGUGAAACUCUGUCGGAGGUGCGCGCACAGUAGAAAAAGUCGUAUGAGAACGCCUUUCCGUCGGUGCCUUUAAACCGCGAUGUCAGUGCACAUUUCUGAACGGGUGGCGCUCUGCCCUCCCCCCUCUUCUUUUUCCCUACUCUCUCUCUCUCUCGGUUUCCCCUAUGUGCAUCUAAAUACCGUUAUCGCAAUAAACGUGGUUGCCGUGAUUUCAAACAAAAAGAUUAUCCGACGGGUGUACGUUCGUGAUAUACCGAUUCUCGUUCAGAUUUCAAGCUAUCAAGACGGGCACGGGCGUUUGCAAAAGAUGACAGCAGGAUUCACAGGCAGCACCGUGUCUCGUGUGCGCGAUGCAGCACACGAAUAGUGGGGAGAAUGAAAGAGGCAACGAGUCGGUGUAAUGGUGAAGGGAACGAGGGGAAAGAGGGAAAGGAAGCUAGAAAGUGGGGAGGGUAAAAAGAGAGAAGUGGGGGACCGACGAGGAAGGUAGAGAGGAAGAGCGAGGAAGAAAGAGAAGACAUUGACCGAACGAGCAGCCGCGCGACAAGGCCUCCUUUGCCGUGCCAGGCCAGCUGGAAGGAACGAAGCCCGAACCCUGACUUCUCUUUCUCGGCUCUGGUGUAUUACUUUCCUUUUCCGAUAACCGUGUACUCUUUCUCUCUACCCCCCUCUCUUGUACGGUUGGCUACCAAAGAAACGAUGGGAAAAAGCCACUAGAGCUCACGGUGUAAAAAACUACCACCUAGCCAUACUUCACCUGCGCACGUGUGCCAACUGCGAAGUGAAACCCCCUAGGACGUGUAUCGCGGUCAGAUUACAUACUCCUCAGCUAAGACGAAUUAAUUGAAUAAACAUCCGACUGGAAAAUAUGUAUAGAAAGGAGGCGAAGAACUGUAUUACUAUAAGUAACAUGUCCUUUGCCUUUUUCUUCUUUAUUCAAUGGAGAAAGUGAAUUUCAAUCAUUCUGUUUAUUUAUUAUAACAAAAGUACUGUAUUAUUGUAUUUUUUAUUUAAUUAUAGGUAUCUAUUAUAGGUAUUUUAAGUAAUAUAUAGAAGGCAAAUCUUUAGUUUUGUUUAGUUAAAAGAUAAAGAAGCAUUUGGCUGUCCGGGAGACGAAGUUCCUCGACAUGGGACGAGUAAAGGAAGGUCGUUCCCGGACGUGCGGACGUUCCACCGGUCGGCUACUCCGUGCUUUGGCUAGCCGGCUACUAAACUCGUCUGUACAACGUUGCCACGUCUAUUCGUUCGGUGUUGACACGGUCGGACUCUAAUUCAGCUACUACUCACAGUUCGCGACAUUAAUGUGCAACCUCCUAUGCGCGCAUGAUUCAAAGAAACCGAUACUGUAAUUAAACAACGAAACUGUCUUCUAUGUAUUAUUUCAAUCAUUAUGCUAAUUUUGUUUUCGAUCAUUAAGAAACUUGAUCUUUGAAAUAUUCAGGGAUUCAAAUUUUGGCGCUUUCACGACUUCCGACCAAUCGGAAGCGUCAGAGGUUCCCCCCAUCGUUAAAUUUGACAGCCAUGUUUCUUUUUUGACGAAUGUCACUAGCGCCAAGAUUAAGUAUUCUUCAUUUCUCGUUUGUAACAAGCGGAUAAUAACAGUUGUUCGGACAUCUGUUUGACGAAAAUUCCGGCUGUUUGCCAGUACCAAAUUGACGUGCCGAGCGUGAAACGAUGCUGGCCAUGGUCCAAAAAUUAUUCGAAAGUAAACAUAUAUCAUGGUAGCAUUGUUUAUAUUCAAAGGUACCGUCUUCUCGUUGCUUCGACCGAAAGAAGCAUGUAAGGUAUUUCGAAACUUUCACUACGUAAAACCUUUCGUGUGAUACCCGAUUCGGAAGGAAAAUAUAUUGGAAGAAGUAAAAGUAAGUUGCGUAACAAGAUAUAUAUAUAUAUAUAUAUAAAAAAUUUGAUUACAGCAUAAUCAAUUUCCAUCGCUUGUCUCUCUCUCUGGUAAUAGUUUCCCAUUACAUUUUAGGUGUUUAUAAAACAGACGUUCGUGAAUGUAACGAUGUUAAUCAACGAACGAGAAACAUGACUAACUCUCGGCAGGAGAGAUUCUUAUCGCGGAUGAUGUAUUUUAACACCAUUAAGUGACGCAAACCUUCGAAUGGAAUCUGGUGAAAAGAAAAAAAAAAGAGAAAUGCAAUCAGCAUUUUAAUGGUAAGCGUCAGUAGUGUUCGUGUUUCGUCUAGUUGGACCAACCGGCCAAUAAAGUUUAGUUCUGCGAAAACAUGUCAGAGGGAGAAAGUAGAGAAGGCUGAAGAAAGAGGGCGGUAGAUGUAAGAAAAAGAAAGAAGGAAUGACCGGUAUAAAGAUUUACAGUGGUGUAAAUACAGCGAUAAACUGGCCAUCAUUUUGUCAGCUUGCAAGAUUAUUCUCAGACGUAAAUAUUUUUCAUCGAUUUAUAACACGGUCUACGCAUUUCCCGUUCGAGGGACGUUUACGUACAUUUUGUACCGAAGGUGUCGAGUGCGGUUUCUUUUUUUUGGGAAUUUCGAAACGAUCAAGUCGAUUGGUCAAAUACGCAUCCGAAAGCGAAGAGUCGUCUUCUUUCGUGUGAAAUUAUAACGAAAAAGAAAAAAACUGGGUCAACUCAUCGUGCAGGUGCACGACCGUGUUUCGUCCAUCAUCGAUAUAUCUCUUUUGUCGUUUCUAUAUCGAUUCAGAAGCUCCUUUGCAAUUUCUUCCAUUUCAAAGAAAACAUGUAUAUAAACGGGAGAAAAAUCGUGAGCGUGGAGAAUAAAAAAAAAGAAAGAAAAGAAAAAAAAAAACAAGAGGGAAGAGAAAGAGAAGAAACGGGACAGAAAAAUGGGUCGCGAGUCAGUUUCGCUCGGUGGUGAUACGUCUAGCGGGCUACCAUCUCUCGUCGGAAAUCUCUCCGGUGGUCGAUUUUCAGCGACGACGGUGAAUAUAUCCGAGCAAAGGUAGGCGCGCAUUACCGGUUGAACUCACUGUUGACGGAUCACGUGGCAGAUUUCAGGCAUCCCCGUUGGCACCGGCGGCCAAGCUGAUUUAUCGAGUGGCGUGGCGUUGCUGACCUCACUCUCGGUACGGCUAACGACGGCUAAGAGGAGCUCUCUUGGUAAUCUGCCGAAUGCCAGCUCCAAGUCAUACUGGAUGUUCAAAAAAGCCUGGGUGAAACUCGGAGGAGCACGGGGUACUCGUCGAACCAAAGAUAUAUUUUAAAUGUUGAUGUUUCUUGUCACGGUAAUGUUAUAACGUGUUAAUGGCAUUGUUAAAAUGUCAAAUCAUAAAGUCACUCGAAUAAGAUCUUCUAUCCCGAGCAUCAGAUAAACACGUGUUCCAUUUAAAUCCGUUUUCAUGUUCCAGUCAUUUCCCAGUGCCCAUUGUACGCGACAAUGUACAACAAGUGAGUCAUACUGCGGUAUAAACGGUGCUUGUAGAGUGACAUUACGGUCGCGCGUGAUGCAUCAAGCAUUAUUUGCAAAUGAUCGUUACAGUAACUAGUUACACCAGCCUCGUUUGUCCAAAGGAAUUAUUAGAGUAAAAAGGAAAAAAAUGGCCAUGAUUCGAAACAGGGUCAAGCAUAUUACCAAAUAUUUCCUGCACUACACCAGAAGCUAACGGAAAGUUCUCGUUCAAUUCGCAGACUGAAGAAAUACGAAUCGAGCAUAGGAAUCAUCGAUUAAACAUCAAGAUAAGAGGAAAUCAGUCAAAUGGUGAAUCCGAAUCUCAGAUCGAACGAGCCACGGAACAAGAUAUUAUUGCGAAUUCAGCCAGGAGGAGCGAGUGUAAAUAAUGAGAUCAUCAGGAAGGUGAACACGACCGAUGAACUUGUUCCAUUGUAACCGAACACCCAUGCCUCUGCCUGCAAUUAUUGUGCCUGCCACGCGAAAACACGUAUUACUUACGUAAUCGUACGGUGACACUGACCUCACUCUAAAUCCAUAAGUGGCUGUUAAUUAUCGAGUGGCAACGAUUUCAACGAUUUCGACGAGGUGGGGAGAGCGAGGUUAGGUCGAGGGGUGGAGCAUAUACAUAAAGGGGAUGAGAGAGAGAAAGAGAGAGAGAGAAAUGAAGGGAGAACCGAUAGAGAGUAGCCCGCUAAUCAGUCCGGUCGGAUAUCGCAAUAUGUGGGAUACGCUCGGUUGAUUCUGAACAGGACGAGUUUACCCUAACGUAAUUAAUGUUCCUCAUACAAUGUGACGUGUAACGACAAAUUCGAUUGACGUCACAAAGUGGAGAGAAUGGAUAGGUUAUUGAAUUCGUCUUGAAACGUACAUUCAGCUGUAGGUUUCCUUUGGCUAAGGGUAAGGGAAGGAGCAUUCCAUCGACUGCUUUGUGUUUUGGAGGGGAGCUUAGAGAAAAUCUAAAGCCUAGUUUAUGCUGGUAGUAGUAAAAAUCUGCCCUGAAGGGAUUGGUAGAAUACUAAAGCCAAACUCACGCGCCAUAAUGCUAUCGAAUAAACUUGACUGAACGAUAUAAAUAAUUUUUUCUUUAACAAUCCAUCAGAUAUUUCUGAUAGAGUAAGCUAAACUGCACGUUUUUAACUGAAUCAAUUAUAAAUAAACGUCCUCCUAUUAAAAGCGUCGUGGUAUUUUCAGAUUCCAUUCAACCAUCGCACACAUAUUCAUCGGAUGAACGAGGACGGCCUAGGUGAAUUUACAGCUGGGACAACGACGAAACGAACCGUACCCGGGUUAAUAUAUGUUCUUCUUUUGUUUCACGCGGGUUAGGUGACGUUUAAUUGCUAGGGUAGACCCGACUGUUUUCAUCGCGGUUGAUUACAGGCUGCUGAAAAUAAUUAUCGGGUUUACGUACGUUCCGACGAUUAUUGUAUCAUUUAAAGAAGACGUUUGACAUAUUUUAAGGAAACGUAUUGCUCGAUAAUAAUUGGAGGGUUCGUGUUUGAAUAUCCGACAAGUAGCAGCAUCAUUUUUAUCCAUCAGCUGCUGAAAACGGUACAACCCUCCGAGGAUUCUGAACAAACGGUGCAAAAAGGAACGAAUCGGAACACCUACUAUUACAGUUGCUCCCGAUCAUUGAAAUCGACCUUCCUGUUUCAGAAGCACAGCGGUAUCAUCACCGUCGGACUCGAGACGGAUCAUUUUUCAUUUAUGCGCUCCGGGGUAAUGCGUACCAUUGAAUGUCGCUAAUUACUCGCACGGAAGGAUCAACAUCUUUUUCUCUCGCUGGGAUAAAUGAAACGCUCACGAUGCCGGACAAGAUAAUUAAGUAUUACGGAGCACGGUGUUACGUACGCGAUAAUAAUCUCUCGCCGCGUGUCAACGCUCACUUGACCCGACGUCUCUUUCUCCUGUGCAGUCCGAAGAAUGUAAGAACACCAGAAGGAGCCGAGGAACGCAACGGAUAAGAAAGAAUCAGUGGUAUAAGGACACUCAACCCGGGUAGAGGUCGAACGUUCCUGUUGCGAGAUGACGAAAAAUUCCGAAAGGAUUUUUCCCGGUGCAACCGAGGAAUUUCGAAAAGAAAAUCAUCGACGCGUGCGUUCUCCGAUGGAAACGCGUAACCAUGAGACGUUCGAGGAGCUGGCAACAUGUUUCAGAAAAUUGAAAACCGUGUAAUGGAAGCAGAGAAGAAUUGAAAAUAUAUCAAUUCCAGGUAAAUACAAUGUAAAGAUUAUUAUCUGAUGUCUGAUUAUUAUUAGCCGCAAGGUGUUAACACGUUGAUUGUGAUACGAUAUUGCACUUCCAGGUAUUCAGCAAAAUUAUUUAUAAUGGGGUAAAGAAGUACCUCGUAAAGUAGCUGACACGACAAUUCCGAGUGUUAAACGAAGUCUUGUUCAACCGUUUUCUCAUAUUUGUUCCACUUUCAGAACCGCUUAGACGACAGGAUUCCCAAAUCGCGGGUAGCACAGCGUUAACAGAGUCGAAUUUGCAUUUUAUCAUCGUGGAGAACAGUGGCAGGAAGAGAAGAGUGUCUUUAAAACACGGCCAAUCUCGAGUCCCUUUCGUUCGGAGGUGUUCUUAAUAGGAGCA
This is a non-coding RNA of Osmia lignaria (orchard mason bee), 6678 nucleotides long. Lineage: Eukaryota; Metazoa; Arthropoda; Insecta; Hymenoptera; Megachilidae. The record is from RefSeq and is a predicted model, not a curated record.